AAUCUUAUAUUUUAUUUAAAAAUAUUAAAUUGCAAAUUUAAAGAUGGUUUUCUAAGAUUU
Molecule: transfer RNA, 60 nt
Filed under: Ixodes angustus
Lineage: Eukaryota; Metazoa; Arthropoda; Arachnida; Ixodida; Ixodidae
Description: tRNA-Cys
Source: RNAcentral